RNAcentral lists this long non-coding RNA (1126 nucleotides) under Piliocolobus tephrosceles (Ugandan red Colobus). RNAcentral's name for it is "lncRNA (ENSPTEG00000015095.1)". Lineage: Eukaryota; Metazoa; Chordata; Mammalia; Primates; Cercopithecidae. The record is from RNAcentral.
AUGUUUUACUACACUAAUUUUGUUAAAGAAGAUAAAAAUUUAAAAAAAAACACCAAUUUUUUGCACAUAUUGAAUGACAGGAAAAAAGACAAAAAUAAUAAAAUACAAAAUUCAGAAAAACAGUCAGAUGAAAAUACAUUUAUAGAUGUUAAAACAAAGGUAGAAAAAGAAAACUGCUUUUUUUACGACUAUAUAUAUUUUAAAUAUGAUGAUAAUGAAAAAAAACAAAAAAAAAUUCAUCCAGUUUUUAUCAAUAACGUUAACAAUAAAAAAAAAAUAUACAACUUGAGCAAAAUUAAUAGGUCUUAUACAAGGAAUAGGUAUGAAAACGCGCUAAAUAAAUAUGAGUUAGAUAAAAAUUUAUUUAGUUAUGAGAAAACGAAAUAUCUAGAUUCGCUUGAAAACAACACGGAGCAAGAGCAACAUGACGAGCUAGAUGAAGAACUAUUCGUAGAAAAAAGAAACCUAAAUCACAUUGACUAUCAUGAACAUGAUUUUGAAACAUUUAAAAAAAAAAAAUUCGAUGAAGACGAAAUAAACUAUUCAAUAAACAGAACUAUCUAUCAACUAAACAAAAUACAUGACACGAAGGAUGAGAACAAUAAUAAAAUAAAUUAUAGUGAUAAUAUUUCUAAUUUUAUAAGAAAAAACAAAGAUUGUCUUAAAAGGGAAAUUGACUUUACAUUUAAAAAUAUGUGCAUAGAAGAGAAGAUACAGUUAAAAUUAAAAAUAUUAGGAACCGAUGGAAAAGAAAUAAAGAACAAAAACAUAGAGAAUUUGUUCAUAAAUAAGGUGUGCUAUAAUGACAUAUAUAUAUAUAUAUAUACAUAUAUAUACAUACAUACACACACGUGUCAUUACUUUUAAUUCAUCUGUAUGUUACUAUAUGCAGUUUUAUUUUUGUACUGAUGUUUAUAUUUUUAACAUUUUCAACUUUUUUAGAAUCGAACAUUUGGAGAUUUAGCGAAAACUUUGGGUAAUUAUUUUAAACUUACUAAUGAAGAAGUCCAAAAUAUCAAAAUAUUUUUUGAUGGCGAGUUAUGCAAUUUUGAUCUUACCUUUGGUACAAUAUGAAGAAAAAAAAAAAAAAAAUAUAUAUAUAUAUAUAAUGGCAAUAACAUUAUUA